GACGAACGCUGGCGGCGUGGAUUAGGCAUGCAAGUCGAACGGUAUCAUCCUUUCGGGGGUGAGAGAGUGGCGAACUGGUGAGUAACACGUAGGUUACCUACCCUCAAGACGGGGACAACCCAGGGAAACUUGGGCUAAUACCGGAUGUGAGCAACUUUUAGUUGUUUGAAAGGUGGCGUAAGCUGUCGCUUGGGGAUGAGCCUGCGUCCUAUUAGUUAGUUGGUGAGGUAACGGCUCACCUAGGCAAUAAUAGGUAGGCGGCCUUAACGGGUGGUCGCCCACACUGGGAUUGAGAUACGGCCCAGACUCCUACGGGAGGCAGCAGUCGAGAAUAGUCCACAAUGGUCGGAAGACUGAUAGUGCGACGCCGCGUGAACGAUGAAUCCCUUCGGGGUGUAAAGUUCUUUUAUAUGUGAGCAGUGCUUCUUAUAUUAACAGUAUGGGGAAGAGAUAUUAGCAUAUGAAUAAGCAACGGCUAACUCCGUGCCAGCAGCCGCGGUAAU
RNAcentral lists this ribosomal RNA (503 nucleotides) under uncultured bacterium. Its description in RNAcentral is "bacterial SSU rRNA". It matches the Rfam family "Bacterial small subunit ribosomal RNA", at positions 28 to 524 of the family's 1533-position model. The record is from RNAcentral.